UUUGACAAUGGAAGGAUUGUGAAGGAAACAGGAUUUUUCCGGACAUUUGCCAUCGUUCAGUGAAACAAUAAAUCAGUACGUUUCGAGAUUUGCACAUUUCGUAAUCUAAUGUGCUUCUAUUAAACCAAUUUCAAUGCAGUUUAGCAAAAAAUAGCUUUUAUUUAUCGCAGAGUUAACAUUGGGUAGGUAAAUUAAUUUUCCCAACUUAGCAAUUACAGUCAUGGCAACUAAAACAUUAAUUUGUUUUCGAAACAAUAAGAAAAAAUAAUUUUUAGUCUAAAACUUAAGUGUUUAUUUUUUAAAUCUCUGAUUAUUAUACUAAUUAUGAAUUUUUAGAAACAAAAUAGUGUUACUGCUUUAAAAUCUAUGAAUGUUAAGAACUUUAACGCUUAAGCUCUCAAGUGGUAGCUCGACAGUGUGUAAUCUAAGAUUUAAAAUUGUGCCACACUACUAAGAUUGAAAAUCUUAGAUACCAAACACAAAUUAAAUAAAACUGUAUUAAAUUAUUGAAAAUAAUUAAUUGUAUAUAAUUUUCUUUCAAUCUAUUCAAAAAUUUAUGAACACUGUACAAUUUUUCUCUAUAAAUUGAAGUACUGUAUUUUUAUUUUUGUUUCAUUACUUUUUUCUCUUUGUUAUUAAUGUCAUAUGGUACUGUUGGCAGUUUCCAUGUAUUAUUGUUUCUUCUCAGAGAAUGUUUUGGAGAAUUUGGUAAAAUUUCUUGAACUCUUUUUUAAUCCCUUGUUUGUGGUUUUAGAUUUUUUAAACACGAUUCACAAAGAUCCAGUAGCUCUUGAGUUUCUUUCAACCCGGAGCGGUUGUACCAGUGUCAUAGCUGCCCGAGAGCCUACGUCAACCAUGAAAGUCUAGUGAGGCACACAAAGCUGGAGUGUGGCAAAGUUCCUCAGUUUCCCUGUGAGUUCUGUGCUUACCGUGCGACGCAGCGCACCAACCUGGUGAGACACGUCCGCACCCGCCACCCGACUACACCGCUCACAUGAACUUUGGAGAAAAACCCUCACUGUACCACAGGCACCUUUUGUAACAAGGCAUUUUAUUAUUGUGUACCUUUAUUUUUCUUCAAUAAAUGCUGUAUGUUUUGUACUUUUUUAUGUUAUCUAUUCAGAUAAAAUCUUAUUUGAUGAUCAGAUGAUUUUGAACUAAAUGUUUCAUACUAAGUAAGAUAUUACCGUUCAACAAGACAACAUAUACUUGAACAAAGGUCUUCUUCUCAAACAAAGCUGAUGUUUAAACUGUUUUGGUUAGUAAAUAUGAUUUGUUUCCUUGUUAUAGGGAAAUUUUAUAAAACAAGAAAAUCACAAAAAUAUCGAGUAAAAUAUAAUAAACAUAAAAAAUUGUAAUAUUCUACAAAAUCUGAAAAAUUGCUUUAUUGUAUCCAACACUGAGAUCAGGUUGUUGUUAACUGUUUUGUGAAGGAUAUUGCCUAAACAUUACAGAGUGAUAUAUACAUAAAUGAUAUUUAGAACAAAUAUAAAAUGUCAAGUAGCUUUAUCACUCUUCUAUGAUUAUUAACUGCACGAUUGCUGGUUGUAGCAGCAGACCUUAUGGAAUUUCUGCAGACACCGCUGCAGCCAAAGCCAUUCCCCUGUCCGCAGUGUCCCAGGUCCUACCGUCACAUGGAAAACUUGCAGCGACAUCUACGUCUAGAAUGUGGGAAACAGCCGCAGUUCCUCUGUCCGCAGUGUCCUUACCGUAGCAAGCAUCGCCAGAACUUGAACCGGCAUGUCUUCACCAAACAUGCUGCCAACUGACUACUUUCAAGUCAACAUUUGUAAAUAACUUCCUCAAUAAACAUUUUUAAAUUGCA
Molecule: long non-coding RNA, 1825 nt
Organism: Homalodisca vitripennis (glassy-winged sharpshooter)
Lineage: Eukaryota; Metazoa; Arthropoda; Insecta; Hemiptera; Cicadellidae
Exons: 2
Source: RefSeq, a predicted model, not a curated record